GAGCUUGCUCCCUGAUGUUAGCGGCGGACGGGUGAGUAACACGUGGGUAACCUGCCUGUAAGACUGGGAUAACUCCGGGAAACCGGGGCUAAUACCGGAUGGUUGUUUGAACCGCAUGGUUCAAACAUAAAAGGUGGCUUCGGCUACCACUUACAGAUGGACCCGCGGCGCAUUAGCUAGUUGGUGAGGUAACGGCUCACCAAGGCAACGAUGCGUAGCCGACCUGAGAGGGUGAUCGGCCACACUGGGACUGAGACACGGCCCAGACUCCUACGGGAGGCAGCAGUAGGGAAUCUUCCGCAAUGGACGAAAGUCUGACGGAGCAACGCCGCGUGAGUGAUGAAGGUUUUCGGAUCGUAAAGCUCUGUUGUUAGGGAAGAACAAGUACCGUUCGAAUAGGGCGGUACCUUGACGGUACCUAACCAGAAAGCCACGGCUAACUACGUGCCAGCAGCCGCGGUAAUACGUAGGUGGCAAGCGUUGUCCGGAAUUAUUGGGCGUAAAGGGCUCGCAGGCGGUUUCUUAAGUCUGAUGUGAAAGCCCCCGGCUCAACCGGGGAGGGUCAUUGGAAACUGGGGAACUUGAGUGCAGAAGAGGAGAGUGGAAUUCCACGUGUAGCGGUGAAAUGCGUAGAGAUGUGGAGGAACACCAGUGGCGAAGGCGACUCUCUGGUCUGUAACUGACGCUGAGGAGCGAAAGCGUGGGGAGCGAACAGGAUUAGAUACCCUGGUAGUCCACGCCGUAAACG
RNAcentral lists this ribosomal RNA (748 nucleotides) under Bacillus subtilis. RNAcentral's name for it is "bacterial SSU rRNA". It matches the Rfam family "Bacterial small subunit ribosomal RNA", at positions 76 to 808 of the family's 1533-position model. The record is from RNAcentral. Lineage: Bacteria; Bacillati; Bacillota; Bacilli; Caryophanales; Bacillaceae.